GCGCGUGUCCGUGAUAUAAAUUAAAGGGCCGCAGUAUUUUGACUGUGCGAAGGUCAGCUUAAUCACUAGUCUUUUAAUUGGAGGCUUGUAUGAAUGGCUUGAAUGAGAUAUAUACUGUCUUUUUUAAAAUUAUAUAGAAUUUUAUUUUUUAAUUAAAAAGUUAAAAUAAAAUUAAAGGACGAGAAGACCCUAUAGAUCUUUAUUUUUGUUAUUUAUAAAUUAAAAAGAAUUUUAAAAUUUAUAAUUUAAUAAAAAAUUUUAUUGGGGUGAUAUUAAAAUUUAAAAAACUUUUAAAAUUUAUUAACAUAAAUAUAUGAAUAAAUGAUCCAGUUUUAUUGAUUAAAAAUUUAAGUUACCUUAGGGAUAACAGCGUAAUUUUUUUUUAGAGUUCAUAUCGACAAAAAAGAUUGCGACCUCGAUGUUGGAUUAAGAGUUAUUUUUAGGUGUAGAAGUUUAAAGUUUAGGUCUGUUCGACCUUUGAAUUCUUACAU
RNAcentral lists this ribosomal RNA (491 nucleotides) under Culex quinquefasciatus (southern house mosquito). RNAcentral's name for it is "partial 16S ribosomal RNA". The stretch from base 363 to 491 matches the Rfam family "Bacterial large subunit ribosomal RNA", at positions 2473 to 2601 of the family's 2925-position model. The record is from RNAcentral. Lineage: Eukaryota; Metazoa; Arthropoda; Insecta; Diptera; Culicidae.